RNAcentral lists this ribosomal RNA (1235 nucleotides) under Arthrobacter sp. RNAcentral's name for it is "bacterial SSU rRNA". It matches the Rfam family "Bacterial small subunit ribosomal RNA", at positions 95 to 1341 of the family's 1533-position model. Lineage: Bacteria; Bacillati; Actinomycetota; Actinomycetes; Micrococcales; Micrococcaceae. The record is from RNAcentral.
GUGGCGAACGGGUGAGUAACACGUGAGUAACCUGCCCUUGACUCUGGGAUAAGCCUGGGAAACUGGGUCUAAUACCGGAUAUGACCUUCCAUCGCAUGGUGGUUGGUGGAAAGCUUUUGUGGUUUUGGAUGGACUCGCGGCCUAUCAGCUUGUUGGUGGGGUAAUGGCCUACCAAGGCGACGACGGGUAGCCGGCCUGAGAGGGUGACCGGCCACACUGGGACUGAGACACGGCCCAGACUCCUACGGGAGGCAGCAGUGGGGAAUAUUGCACAAUGGGCGAAAGCCUGAUGCAGCGACGCCGCGUGAGGGAUGACGGCCUUCGGGUUGUAAACCUCUUUCAGUAGGGAAGAAGCGUAAGUGACGGUACCUGCAGAAGAAGCGCCGGCUAACUACGUGCCAGCAGCCGCGGUAAUACGUAGGGCGCAAGCGUUAUCCGGAAUUAUUGGGCGUAAAGAGCUCGUAGGCGGUUUGUCGCGUCUGCCGUGAAAGUCCGGGGCUCAACUCCGGAUCUGCGGUGGGUACGGGCAGACUAGAGUGAUGUAGGGGAGACUGGAAUUCCUGGUGUAGCGGUGAAAUGCGCAGAUAUCAGGAGGAACACCGAUGGCGAAGGCAGGUCUCUGGGCAUUAACUGACGCUGAGGAGCGAAAGCAUGGGGAGCGAACAGGAUUAGAUACCCUGGUAGUCCAUGCCGUAAACGUUGGGCACUAGGUGUGGGGGACAUUCCACGUUUUCCGCGCCGUAGCUAACGCAUUAAGUGCCCCGCCUGGGGAGUACGGCCGCAAGGCUAAAACUCAAAGGAAUUGACGGGGGCCCGCACAAGCGGCGGAGCAUGCGGAUUAAUUCGAUGCAACGCGAAGAACCUUACCAAGGCUUGACAUGAACCGGACCGCUGCAGAAAUGUGGUUUCCCCUUUGGGGCUGGUUUUACAGGUGGUGCAUGGUUGUCGUCAGCUCGUGUCGUGAGAUGUUGGGUUAAGUCCCGCAACGAGCGCAACCCUCGUUCUAUGUUGCCAGCACGUGAUGGUGGGGACUCAUAGGAGACUGCCGGGGUCAACUCGGAGGAAGGUGGGGACGACGUCAAAUCAUCAUGCCCCUUAUGUCUUGGGCUUCACGCAUGCUACAAUGGCCGGUACAAAGGGUUGCGAUACUGUGAGGUGGAGCUAAUCCCAAAAAGCCGGUCUCAGUUCGGAUUGGGGUCUGCAACUCGACCCCAUGAAGUCGGAGUCGCUAGUAA